UACGUAGGGUGCGAGCGUUGUCCGGAAUUAUUGGGCGUAAAGAGCUUGUAGGCGGUUUGUCGCGUCUGCCGUGAAAAUUCGAGGCUCAACCUCGAACUUGCGGUGGGUACGGGCAGACUAGAGUGUGGUAGGGGAGACUGGAAUUCCUGGUGUAGCGGUGAAAUGCGCAGAUAUCAGGAAGAACACCCGUGGCGAAGGCGGCUCUCUGGGACGGUACUGACGCUGAGACGCGAAAGCGUGGGGAGCGAACAGG
Molecule: ribosomal RNA, 253 nt
Filed under: uncultured bacterium
Lineage: Bacteria
Description: partial 16S ribosomal RNA
Rfam family: Bacterial small subunit ribosomal RNA
Source: RNAcentral